ACAUUGGUGGUUCAGUGGCAGAAUUCUUACCUUCCAUGUGGGAGAUCUGGAUUCGAUUCCUGGCCAGUGAA
RNAcentral lists this transfer RNA (71 nucleotides) under Loxodonta africana (African savanna elephant). It matches the Rfam family "tRNA". Rfam says of the family: Transfer RNA (tRNA) molecules are approximately 80 nucleotides in length. Their secondary structure includes four short double-helical elements and three loops (D, anti-codon, and T loops). Lineage: Eukaryota; Metazoa; Chordata; Mammalia; Proboscidea; Elephantidae. The record is from Rfam by way of RNAcentral.